RNAcentral lists this small RNA (1922 nucleotides) under Mytilus galloprovincialis (Mediterranean mussel). Lineage: Eukaryota; Metazoa; Mollusca; Bivalvia; Mytilida; Mytilidae. The record is from RNAcentral.
AUGAAGGUAACAAUCUUGUUAGCAGUUCUAGUGGCAGUCUUUGUCGCAGGUAAAAUAUGAUACUAGUUUCAGUAACCAUUGAGAUAUUUUCCUUAGGUAACGACUAUUUAACUUCAAGGGGGUGAGGGUUAUGUUUUUUUUUCAUUAAAAAAAAAUACUGAUCCCCCAAUUUGAUGAAGAAAAAUAUUCUUAUCAAGCAGAUAACCAAAAAAAUAUUCUGAAUUACAGAUUUCCCCCAUAACUUAUAGAUUUGAAGAAGAAAAAUUUGAUAUCGUCGAAAAACUAAAUAAAUUUCUGACUCAAAAAAACCAUACCCCCUUUUGAAGUUAAAUGGUUGCACUCUUAACAUUUAUUACAAAUAAAAUAAUUUGUUUAGAAAAUAGUCUCUCUAAAUCUUCUUUUAUCCGUUCCGAAUACACUUGUAAAUUGGUUUUUUUUAAUUAUCAAGUGGUUUGCUUGUUAAAAAUGUUCUCGAAGUCAUGUUUUCUGUCCUACCUCUGUGAUUUGCUAUUGCUACAUUAAGAUUAUUCUUGCAGUAUAAAUAUAGAUAUUAAAACAUCUAGCAUUCAAAUAUUUUUGCAUUACACUACAUGAAAUGAAGGGAAAAAAUGUUUUAAAGUGAAAAUUUCCGGUAUAUUUGAUAUUUCAACGACUAAUUUUUUAUUUAAUUUACUUCAGCUAAACUCAGUUUUUUCUUUGUAUGUAUUAUGUUUUAAAUAAAGUCUAGAGAAACGGCUUGAUUUGGUGAAAAAAAAUACCAUGUAAUCUUCGAAGAAAAAGAGGCGCGAAAAGAUACCAGAGGGACAGUCAAACUCAUAAUCGAAAAAUAAACUGACAACUUCAUGGCUAAAAAUGAAAAAGACAAACAGAACAAUAAUAGUACACAUGACACAGGAAUUAUUCAAAAUAAACCGAUCUUAUUUUUUAAUUUUUUUAUAUUGAAGGUACGAAGGCUCAUUCGCAUGCUUGCACAUCAUACUGGUGUGGUAAGUUUUGUGGGGCUGGUGGUUGCACACAUUAUCUAUGCCGAGUACUCCAUCCGGUAAAAUGUGCGCCUGUCUUCAUUGCAGAAGGGUGAAAAAUCCUUUCGGAGUUAACCAAGUUGCUAAAAGUAUUAACGAUUUGGAUUACACUCCAAUGUAAAGUAUGUUAUUUCCGAUUAUUUUGCAUUAUAUUAACUUUUAUAAAUUUACAAAAUGAAAUUCAUCAUUAGACCAACAUACGUUAUAUAGAAAAAAUUUAAGCAAGAUUAUUAUACAUUUUUUAUAUACAUACCAAUAAUUAAGCUUAAAAUAUUAGCUUCUUUUUUAACAUGUUUAAGUGACGAUUGGUUAAAUUGUGUAUGCCAGUAUUUUGCACAACUUUUUGGAAUUUUGGUCCUCAAUGCUCUUCAACUUUGUACUUGUUUGGCUUUAUAACUAUUUUGAUCUGAGCGUCACUGAUGAGUCUUAUAAUGUAGACGAAACGCGCGUCUUGCAUAUUAAUUAUUAAAUCCUGGUACCAUUGAUAACUAUUAUAUGCAUGUUAAGGAAAUAUGAGUAAUUAGACCAUACGCGUAUUGUCAUAACCAUAUGGGUAUAUACUUACGAUAGUUAAUGAGAUACAUAUUUUGAAUUCAAAUACGGCAGAAACAGCACGACGGUUUGAACUCAGAAGGUUUGUGUAGUUUUCUACCUUGAAUAAGAGAGAAUGAGGAUAUGUUGUCUUUCAUUGUGCUACCUUCAUUUAUCGUAAACAGCAACAUUUAAAUUUAUCAAUCAAAAUGUGGUUUGUCAAUUGAACAAAAAUCUUUAGAAAUAAAAACCAUAGUUUUUGAAAAGAUUUCAAUCAAUAGCGAAUAUAUCAUCAUGUUAAUUUUAUGAGAAAACGCUCUUCUCUUUCAGAAUGAAGUCGAUGGAAAAUUUGGACAAUGGAGUGGAUAU